GCUGAUUUAGCUCAGUUGGCAGAGCAAUUGAUUCGUAAUCAAUGGGUCAGGGGUUCAAUCCCUCUAAUCAGCACCA
RNAcentral lists this transfer RNA (76 nucleotides) under Helicobacter pylori. RNAcentral describes it as "tRNA-Thr". It matches the Rfam family "tRNA". Rfam says of the family: Transfer RNA (tRNA) molecules are approximately 80 nucleotides in length. The record is from RNAcentral. Lineage: Bacteria; Pseudomonadati; Campylobacterota; Epsilonproteobacteria; Campylobacterales; Helicobacteraceae. RNAcentral also lists the same sequence under 2 other names.